GACGAACGCUGGCGGCGUGCCUAAUACAUGCAAGUUGAGCGCUGAAGGUUGGUACUUGUACCGACUGGAUGAGCAGCGAACGGGUGAGUAACGCGUGGGGAAUCUGCCUUUGAGCGGGGGACAACAUUUGGAAACGAAUGCUAAUACCGCAUAAAAACUUUAAACACAAGUUUUAAGUUUGAAAGAUGCAAUUGCAUCACUCAAAGAUGAUCCCGCGUUGUAUUAGCUAGUUGGUGAGGUAAAGGCUCACCAAGGCGAUGAUACAUAGCCGACCUGAGAGGGUGAUCGGCCACAUUGGGACUGAGACACGGCCCACACUCCUACGGGAGGCAGCAGUAGGGAAUCUUCGGCAAUGGACGAAAGUCUGACCGAGCAACGCCGCGUGAGUGAAGAAGGUUUUCGGAUCGUAAAACUCUGUUGGUAGAGAAGAACGUCGGUGAGAGUGGAAAGCGCAUCAAGUGACGGUAACUAACCAGAAAGGGACGGCUAACUACGU
This 496-nucleotide ribosomal RNA is filed under the name uncultured bacterium. RNAcentral describes it as "partial 16S ribosomal RNA". It matches the Rfam family "Bacterial small subunit ribosomal RNA", at positions 28 to 506 of the family's 1533-position model. The record is from RNAcentral.